This 187-nucleotide ribosomal RNA is filed under the name uncultured Hyphomicrobiales bacterium. Its description in RNAcentral is "uncultured Rhizobiales bacterium partial 16S ribosomal RNA". It matches the Rfam family "Bacterial small subunit ribosomal RNA", at positions 131 to 334 of the family's 1533-position model. Lineage: Bacteria; Pseudomonadati; Pseudomonadota; Alphaproteobacteria; Hyphomicrobiales. The record is from RNAcentral.
CUUUCCUGCGGAAUAGCUCCGGGAAACUGGAAUUAAUACCGCAUACGCCCUACGGGGGAAAGAUUUAUCGGGGAAGGAUUGGCCCGCGUUGGAUUAGCUAGUUGGUGGGGUAAAGGCCUACCAAGGCGACGAUCCAUAGCUGGUCUGAGAGGAUGAUCAGCCACAUUGGGACUGAGACACGGCCCAA